AGCAGCCGCGGUAAUUCCAGCUCCAAUAGCGUAUAUUAAAGUUGCUGCAGUUAAAAAGCUCGUAGUUGAAUUUCGGGACCAUCAUGUCGGUCGUGCCUCGGUACGUACUGGCAUUGUUGGUUUCUCCCUUCUGACGAACCAUGAUGUCAUUUAUUUGGUGUUGUGGGGAAUCAGGACUGUUACUUUGAAAAAAUUAGAGUGUUUAAAGCAGGCUCA
This 216-nucleotide ribosomal RNA is filed under the name uncultured Glomus. RNAcentral describes it as "partial small subunit ribosomal RNA". It matches the Rfam family "Eukaryotic small subunit ribosomal RNA", at positions 569 to 788 of the family's 1831-position model. The record is from RNAcentral. Lineage: Eukaryota; Fungi; Glomeromycota; Glomeromycetes; Glomerales; Glomeraceae.